AGAUUAGAAGAUCAAUACUAUUAGAUAUCCAGCCAAUCUCUGAGCGUGCUUAGCUCUGGUUAACUUGCCGUACUUCAUAGGUUCAGAGAUUCGAUUCUCAAGCUAUAUUUAAUUGUUUUUUACGCUUCUUAAAAGGUUGUACUUUUCCAAACAUUGCAAUUCACAAAAGUUUAAAAACUCCUAAGAGACCACAAUACAUGCAAUCCCAGGAUCAAACAUCAAAUGUAUGAACUUUCUCCAAAAGCAAUUCGGCAAGUUUCCUUUUUAUAGAAAUGUAAUUUGAGCAACCCACGACCCACCCACUUGCUUGGUAUCAUUCAGCUUCUGGAGAGAGGUCAAAGACAUCCACAAUUUGCUGAGCAGCUCGGCAAGCACGCAAAAUGGAUUCAUUUUAAUACUCCGAGAAGCAAUCUGAAACCGCAAAAUGGACGAGCAGGUAAAAAGGGAACACUUAAGUUGCGCCCUUAAAUAAAAAUAACUUUGGCCUAUUUAAUGCAUGUUUAACUGCACAGUUAAUUGUUGU
Long non-coding RNA from Drosophila grimshawi, 523 nucleotides. RefSeq lists it as uncharacterized. Lineage: Eukaryota; Metazoa; Arthropoda; Insecta; Diptera; Drosophilidae. The record is from RefSeq and is a predicted model, not a curated record. The transcript has 3 exons.